Long non-coding RNA from Panicum virgatum (switchgrass), 610 nucleotides. RefSeq lists it as uncharacterized. The transcript is spliced from 2 exons. Lineage: Eukaryota; Viridiplantae; Streptophyta; Magnoliopsida; Poales; Poaceae. The record is from RefSeq and is a predicted model, not a curated record.
CCAAGCAAUUGAACUGGUGUGAACCGGUUGAAUCGGCCAGUUUUUGUGUGAGCAGGUGAACCGGUACCGGUUUGACUGAACCGGGCGGGUCUGAGUAAGGACACAAAUUACCCCACGAUGUGCUCCAUUUGCUGUUGUGAACUAAGGGGCAGUAUGGGAAUUAAGCGAUGGAAGGGUCCAAAUGCAGAAAUUAGGCAGGCUCACUGCACAGCCGCCGCUGCCGUUUUCUCUCAGAUUAUCUGGAUCUCGGACCUCGAUGGCUCGGCAUCGGCUCUAGGAAGAGAAAGCUUGAACCUUGAAGAGGCAUUGGAGGAAGAGAAUCCAUAUGGUCCUGGUGUACAGCAACAAGGAGCUGCAGAACGAUCUGCAGAUGUUGCUUGCAUUCCACCUCCCGGUACUCGUGCAAAUACCAAGGCCAAACAAUCUGCAACUUCAAGCAAAGAUGCCCCGGAAGUAGGGAAGUUCUUCAUGCCUAGCACCAAUCCAGGAUACCAACCUACAAAUUUGAAUUGUGCUCCAGAAUGAAAAGACAAGGAAACAGAGUUGAUUUCAUACUGAACAAAUGGUUCAUUGAUGCAUCUGUUCCAUUUCAUGCAACGACUUCCAAGUA